RNAcentral lists this ribosomal RNA (479 nucleotides) under Echiuroidea sp. RCMB0292. RNAcentral's name for it is "partial 16S ribosomal RNA". It matches the Rfam family "Archaeal large subunit ribosomal RNA", at positions 1908 to 2666 of the family's 2987-position model. Lineage: Eukaryota; Metazoa; Annelida; Polychaeta; Echiuroidea. The record is from RNAcentral.
UGCCUGUUGAAUCAAAUUUCAGGUAAACCCUGCCCAAUGACACUCAGUUGAAUGGCCGCGGUAACUCGUGCGAAGGUAGCAUAAUAAUUCGCCCUCUAAUUAAGGGCUGGAAUGAAUGGGCCAACGGUAAACCCCUGUCUCUUUUGAAACUCUAAAAGCUAUCCUCCAAGUGAAAAGACUUGGAUAAAUAUAGAAGACAAGAAGACCCUGUCGUGCUUAACCUUAUUAAGUUGGAAAAACCUAUCAGGGUUUGGUUGGGACGACUCAUACACACAAACACUACAUAAAAUCUAGAGAUACUACUCACUAUAUUCAAGGACCCCUCUAUAGGACCAUAGGAUUAGUAACCGCAGGGAUAACAGGCUAAUCUCCUUCCAGAGCCCAUAUCGACAAGGAGGCUUGGCACCUCGAUGUUGGCUUAGGAACUCUAAUAGGCGCAGCAGCUUAUUAUAGAAGGUUUGUUCAACCUUUUAAAUCCU